UCCAGAGUUUACCACUGAGGUUGAGGCCAGGAUUCACUCCAACGCAGAUUAAUGACAUGCACACAGUGAUACACUUUUAAAGGCAAUUUUACUGACGUUUGCUGAGAUCCCAUUCACUGUUAAUGCCCCAGAUUUUUCCUAAAGUAGAAAUCCCCUUAAAAAGUUAAUCACAGUGCACAUAUAGUUUAUCUGAGAUUGUUUGAAUCCCAGAGCUGAUAGUAAGAGUGUCAUUCCACAAAUAGAGUGCCUUUUUAUUUCCCCCAGACAUUGUGCGUGUACAUUUUAAGAACUAAAUUUAACAGUUGGAUCACAUACUGAACAUCUAAACUAAAUCAUGUUAAAAAUGUCAAUAGCCAUGUGUUUUCAUUUAAAUAAAUGAUUUGUUCUCUGAAAAUCCCUAUUUUGGAAUUUCCUACGUAAGGUUAUUAUAGUUGUGUUUAGAUUCUUAUUAAAAAUUCUGUUUAGUUGAAGUUAAUUUUCAGACCUGAUUUGCUAGUUUAUUCAAUUAAAUUUUAGUUGUAUCAAGAUAUUUAUAUUUAGUUUCAAUUAAAAUGUUUGUGUUAAGAACAGAAAGCAUGCAAGGCUUGAGUUGUACAGUUAUGUAGGUGUUUUUUGGGAUGUCACUUCAUCCAAUGGGGGCAGUAAUAGUUAAGGUGAUGGAUCAGUUUUGGUUUAAAUGACAGUCAUUCUCAAUGUGAUUUGGAUUUGAAAGGAAUAGCGCCAAGACAAAGAAAUGGUGGAAUGAAACACUCUUGACAAAGUUUACACAAAUCCUAUGCUUUUUCACCUCAGUAGCACAUGUUCUGCAUGUUUUUCUUUAGCUCUACUUUACACAAAUGUUUGUAGCCCCCCUCCACACUAGUAAGGGAAAAAAAGAUGUCUGACAUCUAUACAGACUUCAGUUCAAUAUCUAGUUUUGAUUUACAUUUGGUUGAGUUGUCAACUAACUACAAUUCAAUGUGAAAUCAACCAAGUGUCACCAUGCCAUUGAAUUUCGGUUAAAUGUUGGGUGAAAAAAAUACAAAAUUACUGACUUUUUGCAAAUCCAAUCAGUCAUCCAAAGUUGAGACAACCAGUUAAGAAAUUAGGUGGUGUUUUUUUCUUGUCUUACAAUAGCGUGCUAUUAUAUUUGUUUAUUUUAUCUAGGAUACUAUCAUUUUGUGAUCUUGCAGAUCUUGAUUCAGCUUUGAUCUAACUUUAUUAAACGAGUACCAUUCACCAGAGUAGCCUGUUCUCUGAGUAGAGCAGAGACUGUAAGACCUUUAACUGCUGGCAAAGAGGGGUCCAGUAAAGUCGGAUCGGCAGCCACUGUGAUAGUACAUGCAAGAAGAAUCAAGUUAGCUACCUUGCUGAUUUAUUGCCUGGUUCAAAGUCAAUCCUGUAACGUGAACUGAACUCAUGUAAACCUGUUAUGCUAAAACAAUGAAUUUUUGUAAAAAAAAAUUAAGAAAACAUUGAAUAUUAAUAGUCAAAUCAAAGUGUAUAAACAGGUGAGUUGUUUCUACUCUUUUGGGGCAUUUUCUGGUGUUUUGUGAUGGAAAACUGAGUGGUUUGAGGGUAACAUGUCAACCUUGUUAACCAAAGAUAUAUGAACUUGUUAAAACCUAUUGCAUUCAAUUGCCCCUCCCUAAUUGCACACAAAAAGUUUCCAUUCCCCCUGUCACAAAGGGAUUUAUGGCAGAUUAAAUAUGAAAUUGUCAACCCUGUUACUGUCAACCUUAGUCACUAUAGUAAUUUCUUGUAAUUCGACCUCGAUGGGAAAACUUGUUUUUUGUGACUAGUGCUUAGAGCUUUUUGAGGUUGGUUCGAUUAUUUUUUUUAAACUUGGUUUUUGAUCAUUUUUUUAAAUUAUAAAUGCACUAUGCAUUAUGCGAGUUGAAUGCUGUAACACAUAAAACAAUUAAUAAAAGUCCCAUGAUGGUAGUGACUGCCCAUUACUGCUUAUCACUUAUCUCAUCAUUUAUUCACAUUACUUUAAUAAAAUAUUUCAGUUGCAUAUAUUACACUUGUUGAAUAUUCGUUUCUGAUUGGCUAGAAGGGCAUUCUAGAAUGGGCAUUAAAACCAGGACAGUUGGAAAAGAUAUCCGGACAGCUUGAAAUCAUGAUGCAAUGUGCCUACACAUGCAGACCAUACUUGCUACAAAAGGUACAGAAAGCUAAACCAAACAACCACACAAAACGAAGUUGGAUACAUUGUAAACGCAGGUUCAACAAGAAAAAACGUCCAUUCUCAACAGUUAUUCUGGAUGCACAGUUCAUGACAGUGUGAGCUGUAGCUAGUCAGCAAAGCAAGGAAAAACGUCCAUUCUGGAUGCACAGGUCAUGACAGUGUGAGCUGUAGCUAGUCAGCAAAGCAAGGAAAAACGUCCAUUCUGGAUGCACAGGUCAUGACAGUGUGAGCUGUAGCUAGUCAGCAAAGCAAGGAAAAACGUCCAUUCUGGAUGCACAGGUCAUGACAGUGUGAGCUGUAGCUAGUCAGCAAAGCAAGGAAAAACGUCCAUUCUGGAUGCACAGGUCAUGACAGUGUGAGCUGUAGCUAGUCAGCAAAGCAAGGAAAAACGUCCAUUCUGGAUGCACAGGUCAUGACAGUGUGAGCUGUAGCUAGUCAGCAAAGCAAGGAAAAACGUCCAUUCUGGAUGCACAGGUCAUGACAGUGUGAGCUGUAGCUAGUCAGCAAAGCAAGGAAAAACGUCCAUUCUGGAUGCACAGGUCAUGACAGUGUGAGCUGUAGCUAGUCAGCAAAGCAAGGAAAAACGUCCAUUCUGGAUGCACAGGUCAUGACAGUGUGAGCUGUAGCUAGUCAGCAAAGCAAGGAAAAACGUCCAUUCUGGAUGCACAGGUCAUGACAGUGUGAGCUGUAGCUAGUCAGCAAAGCAAGGAAAAACGUCCAUUCUGGAUGCACAGGUCAUGACAGUGUGAGCUGUAGCUAGUCAGCAAAGCAAGGAAAAACGUCCAUUCUGGAUGCACAGGUCAUGACAGUGUGAGCUGUAGCUAGUCAGCAAAGCAAGGAAAAACGUCCAUUCUGGAUGCACAGGUCAUGACAGUGUGAGCUGUAGCUAGUCAGCAAAGCAAGGAAAAACGUCCAUUCUGGAUGCACAGGUCAUGACAGUGUGAGCUGUAGCUAGUCAGCAAAGCAAGGAAAAACGUCCAUUCUGGAUGCACAGGUCAUGACAGUGUGAGCUGUAGCUAGUCAGCAAAGCAAGGAAAAACGUCCAUUCUGGAUGCACAGGUCAUGACAGUGUGAGCUGUAGCUAGUCAGCAAAGCAAGGAAAAACGUCCAUUCUGGAUGCACAGGUCAUGACAGUGUGAGCUGUAGCUAGUCAGCAAAGCAAGGAAAAACGUCCAUUCUGGAUGCACAGGUCAUGACAGUGUGAGGUGUAGCUAGUCAGCAAAGCAAGGAAAAACGGAACAUAUAGACCGAAGAACUGGGUCGUGUCCAUAAAUAUCUAAGUAGUCGAACAAACGACUGGGUCGCGUCUCUAGAAACCAAAGUAUGAAUUUGCUUAUAAAGAUUAAAAUAAACAGAAAAAUAUUAUUUAUACCGGUAAAUGUGUGCUUUAGCAUUAUUUUCUUUUGGAACUGUGGUAUAAGCGAUAAAUGCCUCCGUUCUGUACCUAACUUUGGAAAAAUUAUCUCAGCAAAGGGACUUCCACCUCCUCCCGCUACAUUGUCUAUUAACUCCAAGGUAAUGUACAGACUUUGGCAUUUGUCCCAUACUUAUUUGAUUAGUUUAAUAUUUUAUUCUAAGUCAUCAUCUCAUGUCUAUAGAGCUGUUGCCUAUGCUGUUUGACAAAAUCACUAUUUUAGUAGUUCUAAGAAAAUGAGGCAUACUUUUAUGACUACUGAAUACCAACUAUCAAUCACUUAGAUCAUGUAUUUUCAGAUACCUUGAAGCAACUGCUCUCUAUCCCUCUCGAUUGCACUUUCUUCUGUCUCUUCUUUCCGUCUCGUUGUCUUGCCCACACAACCAAACAAGUAGGCGCACAAUGGAAUGGUCAUUAUAGUUAAUUACCACGUUUUCUGCGCUAACCUAUGUAGAAUAUUGGCCUUUUGGAAACUACAACUCCCUACGACAUUGCACAGUUUGGGCUUGAUCUGAUUUCUCUAGAGAAACUAUGCAUUGAGCUCAUUUUGUUUUUUACAAAAUGGAAUUUAAUUAAUUUAAGAGAUGUGGGUCAUUUAGUUGUUUUAAAAAUGUCAAACAUUUUGGUUCAUCGCUCAGUAAUAGUUGUGAAGUUGAACAUAACAUGAAUGUAAACAUUUUGUGAAAUAAAUAAAUAUUUGACAUUAACAAAAAGGCAUUCUAUUUAUAGAAUGAACCAAGGAACAGGUCAUUAAAUAUACAA
This is a long non-coding RNA of Oncorhynchus keta (chum salmon), 4346 nucleotides long. RefSeq lists it as uncharacterized. The transcript has 4 exons. The record is from RefSeq and is a predicted model, not a curated record. Lineage: Eukaryota; Metazoa; Chordata; Actinopteri; Salmoniformes; Salmonidae.